RNAcentral lists this microRNA precursor (74 nucleotides) under Loa loa (African eye worm). Its description in RNAcentral is "mir-84 microRNA precursor family". It matches the Rfam family "mir-84 microRNA precursor family". The record is from Rfam by way of RNAcentral. Lineage: Eukaryota; Metazoa; Nematoda; Chromadorea; Rhabditida; Onchocercidae.
GAGGCUGAUGAGGUAGUUUAUAAAGCUGCGAGAGUAGAUCAAACUCGCAGAUUUUAAGCUAUCUCCACUGCCUU